CCUACCUUAAACACAUUUUAUUUUCCUCACCACUAACUAACAAAAUAAACACAAGGAUACAAUUCACACCAGGGAGGGCCCACAGAUGGAUUCCAUGAAUAAAUACACAUGCCAUAUACAGGGAGAGGGGAUUAUCAUCAUCUUCAACAGAGAACAAUACUCACUAUCACACUCAACGAAAAACCUCUCAAAAAUUCAUCUCCAUCGUACUCACCUGCGAGACUCCACUAACAAAACACAAAAAGGGGUCACACACAAGAGCUCCCAUUUUUCUUUUCUUAUAGAGGCUUCACUCUCAAUUCACUGAAGAUACUAACACACACAUACACAUAUUAACAUACACACACACACCAAUUGGGAGGGAGAGAGUAGAUCAGUGAAAAAAAAUAGUGUGAAAGAUUGAUGGAGAAAAUGGAGAGAGGGAGAAAAAUUUAAGAAAAUAGAAGAGAGAGAGGUGAUUGAGAAGCCGAAAAACACCCUCUUCACCGGUGGACGUCUCCAUCCGCACUCCCUCCAGCUCCGACUAGAGCGAUGGACUGACGGCUAGUAGCGGCGACCCUAUCUCAGGUCCUGUUCUGGCCAAUUUCAAACAAAAAUCAGUUAUUUGUAUUGAUCUUGUCGUCCAUCUAGUGUCAGAUUGUUGUCUGUCGUCAAUCGCUUUUGAUUUGGGUCUAUUUUGCUCUUGGGUUUCGAGAUCGGUUUUAUCUUCGGGGGAUUUUAUUAUUGCUGUUCGAAGUUGUUGUUUCAGAAGUUCAUAAUUGAGUCUGUGUUCCCGAAUUAAAAUUUUAUUUGGAUUGGGAUUGACAAUAUUGGGUCGAAUUGGGUCUUUGUUGAGGUUCGACUCGAGGUUUUGGAUGCGGACUCUACCGGGUUUAAUCGAAAUAAUACAUCAAUUUUGAAAGCGACAUUGAGGUUCAAUUCUAUAGUCUUCCUUUUUAAUUUUUACGUGAAUGUGAAUGAUUUGUUGUUUGACAUGUUUGAAUCUUUGUUGUGUGUUGGUUGAUGUUGGUUUCGAAUUUUGAAAGGUGAUUAGAUAAUCGAAGAAUGCAUUAAUCAUUGGUUAGGAUAAAUUGGGGUGAGACUUAAAACGUUGAUAAAGGUGAAUAUUAAUUUUCUGUAAUUCUUCGAUAGUCGCUUGAUUCGGAAUAAGCAUUGACUUGUUAUAUUCGAUAGUCACAUAUUUUAGGUCGAUAAUUGUUAGGCAAAUGUUAGGGGGUAGGCAAAUAUAAGAAUUGUGAAAUCUUGAAUGCUUGACAUGUGUUGAAUGGCUUGAUUUUAUUGCAUCUCAUUCAAGUGUAUUCAUUUGGCCGGGGAAUGCCCCGAGAUUUUAUAUACUUAUUCACCAGGGAAUGCCCCGAGGCAUCUUGUACUUAGGGGACGUUCGCGAUGAAGGCCCGAUGCGUCGAGUAGAGCGUGGGAGCACAGUUUAGGAUUAGUAUAGGUUAGAAUAGAAUUUAUAUUUUUCGCAUUUUUUUACUUUGAAUAGUAUAAUUGGACUGAAUGUUCUAUUUUUGGGAUUUGUUUUGUUUUGUGUUUGUUUGUUUGAUUGUUGUGUGUUUAUAUGAUUUAUACAUCUUUAGUGUUUAAUUAGCCGAUACGCUCCACCAAGCGACCGUGGUUGAACCACGGGAUCGAGGGGUGCCUAACACCUUCCCCUCGGUCAACAGAAUUCCAUAACCGGAAUCUCUGUUCGCAAAUCAAUUUUAAAAGAGUCAAAACAGUUUUGAAAAAAGAUUCUCAAAGGUGACUUGGCACACCCAAUUAUGUCAAGUGGCAACUCUGAGUUCAAAAGUAAAUAAUUCUUUUCGAAAUAAAUUCUCAUCUUUUGUCACUUAAUAAUAAAACUCUUUCGAACUUUAAAAGGAAUCUUAUUUUGGUAAAAAAAAGGGUGUGACAGUUUUUAUUAAGGUUAAUUACUAAUGGACUUUAGGUUAAUACACUAGAAUUCAGAUAUAUUACAUAUAGAGUUUACAUUUUAUAAUAAUAUAAUAUGUAUUUCAAAUUUUAUAUAUCUAGGUGGAAAAACAUAAGUAUAUUAGGUAAUUCUUAAUGGGCUAACGAUUUAUCUGAUAAGGAAAUUAAGUAAUCCACCCCCACACUGAUAAGUCGUUAAUUAUAAAAUUUCAGUCCGUUCACCAAUCAUUUAUCCGAUAAACCAACACCAAUAAGCUGAUAAGCCAAUUUUGCGGUUGACUUAUUGGAUACGGUUCGAUUUUAAACAACCCUAAAUUUAAUCCUAUAAUUUUUCAACUUUUGAAACUUCGUUUCUCAAUGCAUCAUUAAUAUAUGCAAAAAAAAAAAAAAAAAUGUCAUUUAAAUUCACGUUAUUUAAUGAGGUUAAAUGGAGAAAGAAAUUAAGAAUACUAAAAAUGUCAUUUAAACUCAUGUUAUUUAAAUGGAACAUAGCAAACAUAGUCACACAGAUACAACAAUGCAUGCAAGACAAACAAGUGAAAAUAUCAGCAUAUAUACAUAGAAGGUAACCAGUUAGCUGAUCAUCUUGCUAAUUUAGCCAUAGAUACUGGAGCAUUUACUAUUACAAGCUUUCAUCAGCUAGACAAAGGAGGAAAAGCCAUCAUAAAUUAAUAGUGGUAAAUGGCAGAGUCCAUACUUGAGGAUUACACCUUCAAAAGGAUAAGGGAAUAGGAGAAGCUAAAGUUGAAUAGUUUACCUGCAACAUAUGUACAACCCACAGAAGUAUCAAAAAGAGUGCAUGUACUAACUAGCCUAAGCUAUUCCAGCCAACAAAAAGGACUCUCAGCAUAAUGGGAGGGUCUAUGAGUCGACUUGAGCUUGAUAAACCUGAGAAUGAGGCUGCUAACCGAAUUUUUGUGGGUCCAAGCAUCCCAAUAUCUUCUUCCCUACCAUAUUUGUGGAACACAAGCUAGAAAAGUUACAGUCAACAACAUCAGAUCCAAAAAAAGAAGAGGAAGAACGAAGAAGGUCAGCUCACUCGGAUAUAACAGCCUCUCUCAAAUGAUCAGAUCCCUCUUAGCUGCACAAAAAGCAUUUCAAUGUCCCAUCCACCGGAGAACACAACUAAAGAAGGAGAAGCAUCACUAUUCCAGUAAAGUAAAGGUGUUAAUAGCUAAACAAAGACAAGGAGAUGGUGCUUACUUCUGUAAGCUGAUAUCACAAGGAAGCCAUGACAAGGGAGGCACAACAUUGCGGAAGCUAGAGUUGGUGAAAGAGAUCUCCAUUUUGGAAGGAAGCGCAGAUGAGAAGAGGAUUAGGAAAGUUGUUUCAUUUUUAGAAACCCUACUGAGUUUAUAUGUUUUUUUCAAUUGGAUCUGGGUUGGGUCGGGUUAUUAGAAUAGUAGCAGGUUGUUAGUUUGGAUAAUGGAUUGGUCCAUUGUGUUUGGAUGAUUUAUUUAUAAGAGAUCAAAAUUAAACCAAAGAAAAAACAGAAAAGUAAUAUCUAACAAAUUAAUUUGUCAUACACCAACAAAUAGCAUAAAUAGAGGUAUAUACUAGCUUGCUUUUACAUGAAAAGGCAACCAAUUUUUACUUUUUUUUAAAAAGGCAAAAUAACUCGGUGGGCCUUUGUAUUAUGUCCGAUUUGUAAAGUGGAUACUCCCACUUAGCGCUUUGUCAUCUGAACCCCUCAAUUCAAUAAAACUCAACAUUUUAAACACUUUUUCAGUGAGUGUAACACACCCGUCCCACGUCAGCAGCCACAUCAUCUUCCACGUCAUUUUUAAGUAUAAAAAAUAUUAAAUAUUAAAAUAAAUAAAUAAAUAAAAUCCCACCACCACCACCCUCCUCUUGUUCCUCUCUUUUCCGUCCUCUUUUUUUUCUUUUCUGUUCUUCUUUCUGUAUUUCUUCUUCUUCUUUUUUCUUAUUAGAAAAUGCUGUGUUGGCUAUGAAUAUUUGGUCCUUCUUUUUUAAUUUUGAAUUUCGUGAAAAUAGCAUCGCUAUGAAGUUGUUUAGUUGGUUGUUUCCGAUAAGUUUCGCCGGUCUAAUUUUUGGGGUGGGGCUGAUCCGUGGUUGUUCCGGCAAAAUUCUCGUCGGAGAAAGUAGAAUGGAAUGAUUAUUUCCGUCCCCUCUCUUGCUCUUUGCCUCUCUCUCCCUCUCUUUUUCUCUCCCAAAUCUUUCUAACCCCUUCCAUCCAUCUCUUUGUUUUUUUAUUUACCCGAUCUUUUAGAUGUGUAUAUAUCUAUGUGUAUAGAGUGUGGUUGUGUGAAUUUCGGUGAAGUGUGUGUUUGUUUAGUGAUUAUGAAAUCGAAAAGUGAGUGUGUAUGAGAGUGUGAUGUGUGAAUUUUUAUCUGAGAGUCUGUGAAUCAUUGUUGUUUGUAUAUGAGAAAAAAUGGAGGUCAAAGGUGUGAGUUGCGAGUUGUGUGAGAGUCUGUGUUAUAUAUUGUGUUAAUAGCGUAAGAGAGUGUUUUUUUUUUGUAUGUGUGAUGACAGUAUGUAUAUAUAUAUUCUCCUCUUUGAAGUUGUGUAUUGUAUUGUGUACAUAAAAAAAUAGAGGAGAAGAAUCUGUAUUCCAGUGAGGUAAUCUGUUUUGGGGAAAAAAGAGAAAAAAAUGUGACUGGACCGGCGGUGAAUGGCGUGGGGGGAUGGGGAAGGUGAUGGACGGCGUGGGGGAUGGGGAAGGUGGUGGAUGCCGGGGGUCGGAGAGGGGUCUCUGAAAUGGAGGUAAUUGGGGAAGGGGUGCUAGAACGGAGGUUGGGGUAGGGGUGGAGGGAGAUUUUAGUUUUUCUUUUUUAAAAUUUUUAAAAUAUUAUAAAUAUUUAAUCACGCACUCAAAAAAUGCGUGUUUACACGCUUUUUGUCACAUCAUCGAGCUAAUGCCACAUAAGCAAAAAAGUGUUUAAAAUAUUGCUUUUUAAUAGAUUCAAGGGUCCAUAUAACAAACAUGUAAGUAGGAGUACUCACUUUACAAAUCAUACAUAGUACAAGGGUCCACCAAAUUAUUUUGCCAAAAAAAAUCAUAGUGAAGAUUAGCUUUGCUUCCUUAUUAGUUUUAUCAUUUUUGUUUGUACAACAAAUGAAUGCCACCAAAAGGAUGCAUGUUCAUAUAGUUGAUGGUAUUAAAAAAAACAAACCACAAUUAAUUUUUCUUAAUUUCGUUGUGCAUCUAGAGAUCAUGAUCUUGGAUGACAUUUUCCUACAUAUCAAGGAAGUGAUUUUUAAUUUCAUUCAAAUCGAAUCGUUUUGUUGAGAUGAUUUUCUUUUGUCAUUUUUUAUGGGGCAAAAAGAAGGUAGCAUUUGAAGUGUACAAAGAUACGGGAGCUUGUGGAAGUGAAUUUGUUACUGGAACAUGCUAUUGGUUGGUGAAGGAAGAUGGUUUCUAUCUCGCCAAUCAAACUUCUCCUCCUCCAUCUUUUUUGGUUAAAAA
RNAcentral lists this long non-coding RNA (5341 nucleotides) under Capsicum annuum. RNAcentral's name for it is "long non-coding RNA (CANN_LNC005885)". Lineage: Eukaryota; Viridiplantae; Streptophyta; Magnoliopsida; Solanales; Solanaceae. The record is from RNAcentral.